Molecule: ribosomal RNA, 379 nt
Filed under: uncultured bacterium
Lineage: Bacteria
Description: bacterial SSU rRNA
Rfam family: Bacterial small subunit ribosomal RNA
Source: RNAcentral
AUUGAACGCUGGCGGCAUGCCUUACACAUGCAAGUCGAAACGGCAGCACGGGAGCAAUCCUGGUGGCGAGUGGCGAACGGGUGAGUAAGUAUAUCGGAACGUGCCCAGUCGUGGGGAUAACGUAGCGAAAGCUACGCUAAUACCGCAUACGAUCUAUGGAUGAAAGCGGGGGGAUCGCAAGACCUCGCGCGAUUGGAGCGGCCGAUAUCAGAUUAGGUAGUUGGUGAGGUAAAGGCUCACCAAGCCGACGAUCUGUAGCUGGUCUGAGAGGACGACCAGCCCACACUGGGACUGAGACACGGCCCAGACGUCCUACGGGAGGCAGCAGUGGGGAAUUUUGGACAAUGGGCGCAAGCCUGAUCCAGCAAUGCCGCGUGCA